AAAUUAAACAUAAUUGUCAGGAUACUCCUCCUAUUGUCCUAUAUUAUGUGAAACUGUUACCGUUUAGGAAAUUAAUAAUUUUUUCUUCAUAGUUUCAUUUAUGAUCUGAGCAAUACAAAUACAAAGUUACAAACGCGAAUUCAUUUAAGAAAACCCACUCUAAAAUACAUGAAUAAAAAUAAGACUCUUAACAAUUGAGUUUCCCCUAUUUUAAACUCUCAUUUACGAAUGACAAUAAUCGAUGUAUUUCUAUUUUUACAACUUUUUUGUAAGACUAUUUUUUUCACUCGGCUAAAUUAGUUUUUAGGUCUCUAUUAAGGUUACAGAAUGAAUUUUGAGACCUCCUUUCCACUUUUUAUUCCAAACUUCAUACAAUCCAAAAUAAAUCUUAUCAGUAUUGUUCCCUUUUCCUUUUGUUAUCGUAAUAGUUUUUGAUAUCAUCUUUUUGCCAUUAGUCUCAGUAGUCAAAUUGAUCUUUCUCCAUUGAGUAUUAUCUCCCCAUUUAGCCAUAAGAUAAAGUGGCGAAUCGCUCCAACCGAACGCAUCAGUCAUCAAUGACAUUGUAAAUCCAAUGUUGUAUGAUGUUUUCUUCGUUAUAUUAAUAUUAUCGAUGCAACCAGUUACCUCCAACCAAUUUACUUGCAUAAGUUCUGCAUCAUCCUUUCUGUAAUUCAAAUAUAUUUAAUAAAAACGUCAGCAUGCUAAAAACAACAAGAGAUUUAUGUAGUCCUAUAUUGUCUUCAUUAUGCAAAAUGUAGUCCUUUUAGAAAAUUUUAUGUUGAUAAAAAUAAAAUUAAAAAAAUAGUAUUCUUACUCGUUUUUGGGUAGCUUCCAAUAACGCUUAUCAUUUCCCCAAACAAUAUUAAGAGAUUUUGGAUAAAUUAUAUAACCCUGCAAGCAACAAAAAUAACACUAUUAAAUAAAUAACAUAACAUAACAUAAACUCGAUGGAUCGAUGGAUUAAGCAUAAGUAAUAAGAGAAACAAGAAUUGCAAUAUAGGAAGAAACUAAUCUAUGAAAUGUCCUGCACCUUUUCUGUUACAGAGAAUGUUUGAUUGCCUUGAUAGUGAAGAGAUUUUAAAGCCAUUUAACUUGCUAUAUAAGUUGAAUUGUAAAGAAUGUGGAGAUUUGAGUGCCUUAUAAUAAUUUUGGCUACAAAAAUCAGAUAUAUAUAGAGAGAUAGAAAUGGAAUCAAAUCACACGUAAUAAGAGACAUGCAUUUAGCAUGGAAUAUCAACCAAUCAAAUGGAAUAAAAUAUCAUGUCUUAUAUUCUAAUAUACGUUGGCAUGCAUUUUUCUACAAGAUUUUUUUGAAGGAAACGUUUUAUUCCAUAUGGGCUUACUUAGUGCGAAUAAAUCAAGAGUGUCACGCGCGGAAUUAGUGAUCAUGGUCGAUUAAAUUCAAUAGUUUUUAUUCAAUCAAUAUAUUCUUAUUUAAAAUAAUUAUUAAAUAUAUAUUAAGUUUAAAACUUAAUUAUAUUUAAUAGAAAGUCGUCAUUUUAAAAUUUUAAAAUUUAUAAAAUUAAAAUUAUGACUCUGCCUAUAUAAAUCAGAGCAAUUAUUUUGAACACGAAAAAUAAUCGAACCGACAACAAAAAAAGUUAGAGAAUAUACUCCUCACUAUAGUGAGUUGUCAAAAUUGAAUGCAUGAGGAUAGAGAUUGAGCCCAAGUUGAUUAAGGUUGAAUAAUAUAAUAUAUUACCCACAAAAAAAUUGGCAUUGUAUUAUUCUCACACGGUGAAUAUUAUUAGUUCACAUAUUCCACUUUUAGACGUUUUCUUCAUUGCCUUAUUAAAAAAAAAUGAACUAUCACUUGAUUCUAGUCGGCCCAAAUUACCUCGAGCUAAUUAAAGCCACAAGUUUCAGAAUAUUUUUUUUGCAAAGUUAUAGUUUAAUUUGACUUUUCUACUUAAUCUUAUAGUAUUUCCCUAAUUACUUGUCCACUUUUAAAUUGACACAUCUAUUAAGAAAACAAUAAUUGAGAGUUUACCAUUUUACCCCUAUUAAUUAUGAAGUUGAUGAAUUAAAAAUGUAAGAUCUUCAAGAAGUUAUAUUUUUUUUUUCAAAGUAAUUAAUUAAGGGUAUAAUAGGUAAAAAAAAUUGUUCUUUCUUGAUUUGUCAAAAUAAACAAGUAAUUAGGGAUAACUAAAAAAGGAAAAGUGGACAAGUAAUUAGGGAUAGAGGAAGUACUAAUGGUUUUUAAAAUUCACUUUUUUGCUUUGAUUUCUAAGUUCCAUCACUUGAUUAGUCUUAAUUUCAUUAUGUGAAAGCGGUAUCUGAAAAUCAUAAAUAUUUGAAUUUCAAAAUAUCAAGAAAUUUAAUAGACCUUAGUAACAUGUAUUCACAUCUUUUGCAUGUCUUUUAAAUAACUUUUGAUUUGGGGAAAGCUAGAAGCCGUUGUGGAGUAAGGAAAAUAAAUUUGGCAACAAUAUUUUUCCUUUCUUCUUGCUAUAUUUCGCUAUUGGUUAUGCAUUGUACUAUUGUGUUACCACAUACUUUAAUAAAUCAAGUAUUCAUGAUCCGUAAAAAAUAAAUUAGUGAGGCUAUAAUUAUUGUAGAAAAAAAAAUCGAUCAUUAGAAAAGUUACAACUCUAGCUCUCCUCAAUCAUAUAAUAUAAUUGAGAAAAUGCAAUUGUGUCACACUCACUCUAACAUGCUAAUUUGGGGAGUCAUUUUUCACUAAUAAUGAACAAGUUAGUGGCAAAUCAGAACAAUUCUAUAUAAAUCAUUCAUCAUAAGUAACUACAUCAAACAUAAUUGUUCCAAGAUACUCCUCUAACCGUCCCAUAUUUUGUGAACCAAACUAUUUUUUCUUUAAUUAUAAUUUUUUUCAAAGUUCAUUUUAAUGUUUUGAAUCAUUCACUGUAUUAGCUUGUAAUGAUUUUCGUAUAGCCAGCUAUCAUAAAGUUAUAAAUUUAUUUGUUUUAGCUGAUAUAGAAGAGAAGAGUGUACGCAGAGAAGUGGGAGGAAAAUCAUAAUUUCAUUCAUAACGUGAGCAAUACUAAUUAAAAUACAAAGUUACAAACCCAAAUUUAUUUAAGUAAACACUCCAAAAUACAUGAACAAAAAUAAGACUUCUAACAAUUGAGCUUUCGCUAUUCUAAAUUCUGAUUUACGGGAUGACAAGGAUCGACGUGUUUCUAUCUUACAAUUGGCUAAACUAGCUUCUAGGUCUCUGUUAAGUUUACAGAAUGAAUUUUGAGACCUCCUUUCCACUUUUUGUUCCAAACUUCAUACAAUCCAAAAUAAAUCUUAUCACUAUUGUUCCCCUUCCCUUUUGUUAUCGUAAUAGCUUUUGAUAUUAUCUUUUUACCAUUAAUCUCAGUUGUCAAAUUCACCUUUCUCCAUUGAGUGUUAUCUCCCCAUUUAGCCAUAAGAUAAAGUGGCGAACCACUCCAACCGAACGCAUCAGUCAUCAAUGACAUUGUAAAUCCAAUCUCGUAUGAUGUUUUCUUCGCUAUAUUAAUAUUGUCAAUGCAACCAGUUACCUCCAACCAAUUUACUUGCAUAAGUUCUGCAUCAUC
This 3524-nucleotide long non-coding RNA is filed under the name Solanum tuberosum (potato). Its description in RNAcentral is "long non-coding RNA (STUB_LNC002916)". Lineage: Eukaryota; Viridiplantae; Streptophyta; Magnoliopsida; Solanales; Solanaceae. The record is from RNAcentral.